This 506-nucleotide ribosomal RNA is filed under the name uncultured bacterium. RNAcentral's name for it is "partial 16S ribosomal RNA". It matches the Rfam family "Bacterial small subunit ribosomal RNA", at positions 29 to 523 of the family's 1533-position model. The record is from RNAcentral.
AGUGAACGCUGGCGGUAGGCCUAACACAUGCAAGUCGAACGGCAGCACAGGAGAGCUUGCUCUCUGGGUGGCGAGUGGCGGACGGGUGAGGAAUACAUCGGAAUCUACUUUUUCGUGGGGGAUAACGUAGGGAAACUUACGCUAAUACCGCAUACGACCUACGGGUGAAAGCAGGGGACCUUCGGGCCUUGCGCGAUUGAAUGAGCCGAUGUCGGAUUAGCUAGUUGGCGGGGUAAAGGCCCACCAAGGCGACGAUCCGUAGCUGGUCUGAGAGGAUGAUCAGCCACACUGGAACUGAGACACGGUCCAGACUCCUACGGGAGGCAGCAGUGGGGAAUAUUGGACAAUGGGCGCAAGCCAGAUCCAGCCAUACCGCGUGGGUGAAGAAGGCCUUCGGGUUGUAAAGCCCUUUUGUUGGGAAAGAAGUCCAGCCGGCUAAUACCCGGUUGGGAUGACGGUACCCAAAGAAUAAGCACCGGCUAACUUCGUGCCAGCCGCCGCCGUAA